Molecule: ribosomal RNA, 425 nt
Filed under: uncultured bacterium
Lineage: Bacteria
Description: partial 16S ribosomal RNA
Rfam family: Bacterial small subunit ribosomal RNA
Source: RNAcentral
GUGGGGAAUAUUGGGCAAUGGGGGAAACCCUGACCCAGCAACGCCGCGUGAAGGAAGAAGGUUUUCGGAUCGUAAACUUCUAUCCUUGGUGAAGAUAAUGACGGUAGCCAAGAAGGAAGCCCCGGCUAACUACGUGCCAGCAGCCGCGGUAAUACGUAGGGGGCAAGCGUUGUCCGGAAUGAUUGGGCGUAAAGGGCGCGUAGGCGGCCUGGUAAGUCUGGAGUGAAAGUCCUGCUUUUAAGGUGGGAAUUGCUUUGGAUACUGUCGGGCUUGAGUGCAGGAGAGGUAAGCGGAAUUCCCGGUGUAGCGGUGAAAUGCGUAGAGAUCGGGAGGAACACCAGUGGCGAAGGCGGCUUACUGGCUCGAUACUGACGCUGAGGUGCGAAAGCGUGGGGAGCAAACAGGAUUAGAAACCCGGGUAGUCC